AGCCACACUGGGACUGAGACACGGCCCAGACUCCUACGGGAGGCAGCAGUGGGGAAUAUUGGACAAUGGGCGAAAGCCUGAUCCAGCCAUGCCGCGUGUGUGAAGAAGGUCUUCGGAUUGUAAAGCACUUUAAGUUGGGAGGAAGGGUAGUAACUUAAUACGUUGCUACUUUGACGUUACCGACAGAAUAAGCACCGGCUAACUUCGUGCCAGCAGCCGCGGUAAUACGAAGGGUGCAAGCGUUAAUCGGAAUUACUGGGCGUAAAGCGUGCGCAGGCGGUUGUGUAAG
RNAcentral lists this ribosomal RNA (289 nucleotides) under uncultured Stichotrichia. RNAcentral's name for it is "partial Bacterial small subunit ribosomal RNA". It matches the Rfam family "Bacterial small subunit ribosomal RNA", at positions 306 to 587 of the family's 1533-position model. Lineage: Eukaryota; Ciliophora; Spirotrichea. The record is from RNAcentral.